RNAcentral lists this long non-coding RNA (455 nucleotides) under Homo sapiens (human). RNAcentral's name for it is "non-protein coding lnc-FRMD1-8:1". The record is from RNAcentral. Lineage: Eukaryota; Metazoa; Chordata; Mammalia; Primates; Hominidae.
AAUUCCAUGUUUUAAGAACACUUGGGGCAAUAGCAUUCCUAAUUACAAUCCAGGUGAGGUCACAGAGUGAAGCCAUGAAGUCUGUUUACAUAAUCUCAAGGUGUCGUGAAGAGUGAAAGGGCUCAUCAGGUACAGAUGAAGUUCCUCGUCUAGUGCAACCGUCCAUACCUUUUAGAGCGCUUCUCUUUUGCAUCCCGACAGGCGUCAUGGACGGGACACAGCUGCCUUUUGAAGGCGCCUCUCUGCACUGCACCUUCACUCAGGUUUCCCACCACCCUGCAGAGGGCGCCAUCCUCAGCAAAGACUCAAAAGAUUCAACAGAAACACAUCUCCACCUUACGACAAUUUAUAGCGGGCCUUUAGAUAAAUUACCGCAUGGAGACAUUUUUUUCAAUUUUAGUUCCAAAUUUUUUAUCUUGCUUAGUUUUAAAAACAUUGUAUUAUAUCUUUUGAGC